Molecule: transfer RNA, 88 nt
Filed under: Pseudorhizobium pelagicum
Lineage: Bacteria; Pseudomonadati; Pseudomonadota; Alphaproteobacteria; Hyphomicrobiales; Rhizobiaceae
Rfam family: tRNA
About the family: Transfer RNA (tRNA) molecules are approximately 80 nucleotides in length. Their secondary structure includes four short double-helical elements and three loops (D, anti-codon, and T loops). Further hydrogen bonds mediate the characteristic L-shaped molecular structure. tRNAs have two regions of fundamental functional importance: the anti-codon, which is responsible for specific mRNA codon recognition, and the 3' end, to which the tRNAs corresponding amino acid is attached (by aminoacyl-tRNA synthetases). tRNAs cope with the degeneracy of the genetic code in two manners: having more than one tRNA (with a specific anti-codon) for a particular amino acid; and 'wobble' base-pairing, i.e. permitting non-standard base-pairing at the 3rd anti-codon position.
Source: Rfam by way of RNAcentral
GGAGAGGUGGCUAAGUGGUCGAAAGCACCGCACUCGAAAUGCGGCAUAUGGGCAACCGUAUCGGGGGGGUCGAAUCCCACCCUCUCCG